RNAcentral lists this ribosomal RNA (463 nucleotides) under Vreelandella stevensii. RNAcentral describes it as "partial 16S ribosomal RNA". It matches the Rfam family "Bacterial small subunit ribosomal RNA", at positions 338 to 795 of the family's 1533-position model. Lineage: Bacteria; Pseudomonadati; Pseudomonadota; Gammaproteobacteria; Oceanospirillales; Halomonadaceae. The record is from RNAcentral.
CCUCGGCGGCAGCAGUGGGGAAUAUUGGACAAUGGGCGAAAGCCUGAUCCAGCCAUGCCGCGUGUGUGAAGAAGGCCUUCGGGUUGUAAAGCACUUUCAGUGGGGAAGAAAGCCUUGGGGCUAAUACCCUCGAGGAAGGACAUCACCCACAGAAGAAGCACCGGCUAACUCCGUGCCAGCAGCCGCGGUAAUACGGAGGGUGCGAGCGUUAAUCGGAAUUACUGGGCGUAAAGCGCGCGUAGGCGGUCUGAUAAGCCGGUUGUGAAAGCCCCGGGCUCAACCUGGGAACGGCAUCCGGAACUGUCAGGCUAGAGUGCAGGAGAGGAAGGUAGAAUUCCCGGUGUAGCGGUGAAAUGCGUAGAGAUCGGGAGGAAUACCAGUGGCGAAGGCGGCCUUCUGGACUGACACUGACGCUGAGGUGCGAAAGCGUGGGUAGCAAACAGGAUUAGAUACCCUAGUAGUC